Daphnia pulicaria is the source of this 771-nucleotide long non-coding RNA. RefSeq lists it as uncharacterized. NCBI's taxonomy places the organism in Eukaryota, Metazoa, Arthropoda, Branchiopoda, Diplostraca, Daphniidae. The record is from RefSeq and is a predicted model, not a curated record. The transcript has 4 exons.
CAAAAACGUGGUCGUCGUGUCAACUUGGUCGCGUCUACUACUCUAUUUAUGGAAUAGCUUAUACUCCAUGCUGUUUAAAAGAUUUAAGGCCUGUGCCAGCCAUCAUUACCACAAGAUAUGCCAGUUUUGCAUGUCUCACCAUUAUUGCUUGGAUAAACAGCAUUUCUCUUGAUUGGAAAAACUACCGAUGCCGACCGUGUUACGUAUAUAUUCUCCCUUUUCCUCGUCCUCGUCUACACACCCAUGUGAGUGUGUAUUCACGAGGACGCCCUUUUUCCUAUUCCGCCUGGUGUACUCAACUCUUUUGUGGAUGGGGCACUUGUGGAUGCCUGGCUUUUUCACAGGCUUAAAGAUACCAAAAGUUGUCGAAAAACACGCAGGAUUUUUAGCGGCUGCUCGAGUGACUCAAGGGGACAGUGUCAAUAGUUGAUGAUGAACCUCGUUCAACCGUCGUUAAGCCUGGGAAAAAAAAUUGUCAUUAGCGGAGAAAACACGUACUCGCUCGUUUCAUUAUGCUGAACAACAUGUAUCCUUCAGGUCAUUGCUGCUGUUGGUGUCAUACCUCGUCUCUUGUUGAAGUGGAGUUCGUGUCCCUUUGAUGACGAGUUGAGAUGAAUCACAGCUUGCUAGCUGCCGCAGGAAACGUCGAACCAGACGUCCUGAUAUGAUUUCCGGUCAUGAAAGAUAUAUAUGUAGCGUCGAGUGCCUAGCAGCUCCAUGAUGAGUCAAAGGUUUGUGUACAAACAUUGCCUGAUCAAAGAUAUGUAGUUG